RNAcentral lists this ribosomal RNA (562 nucleotides) under Calappa calappa. RNAcentral's name for it is "partial 16S ribosomal RNA". It matches the Rfam family "Bacterial large subunit ribosomal RNA", at positions 1808 to 2629 of the family's 2925-position model. The record is from RNAcentral. Lineage: Eukaryota; Metazoa; Arthropoda; Malacostraca; Decapoda; Calappidae.
CAAAAACAUGUCCAUUAAGAAGUUAUUAAUGGUCAAGCCUGCUCACUGACUAAUAAAGUUAAAGAGCCGCGGUAUUUUGACCGUGCAAAGGUAGCAUAAUCAUUAGUUUUUUAAUUGAGAACUAGUAUGAAUGGUUUGACAAAGGAAAAGCUGUCUAUAUGUUAAAUGUAAAACUUAAUUUUUAAGUGAAAAAGCUUAAAUGAUUCAGGGGGACGACAAGACCCUAUAAAGCUUUAUAUGUUAUUUGUAGUUAAUUAAAUUAGAGUAUGAAAAAUUGGCUGUAAGUGAUUUAUUCUGUUGGGGCGACAAAGAUAAAAUUAAUAACUGUUAUUAAUAAUAAUCAGUGGUAAUUGAAAUAGUAGUAAAAGAUCCUUAUUAAAGAUUUAAAGAUCAAGUUACUUUAGGGAUAACAGCGUAAUUUCUUUUGAGAGUCCACAUCGAAAAAGAAGAUUGCGACCUCGAUGUUGAAUUAAGGUUUCUUUAUUGUGCAGCCGCAAUAAAAAGAAGGUCUGUUCGACCUUUAAAGUCUUACAUGAUUUGAGUUCAGACCGGUGUAAGCCAG